RNAcentral lists this transfer RNA (73 nucleotides) under Thermoplasmata archaeon. RNAcentral describes it as "tRNA-Gly". It matches the Rfam family "tRNA". From Rfam's summary of the family: Transfer RNA (tRNA) molecules are approximately 80 nucleotides in length. Their secondary structure includes four short double-helical elements and three loops (D, anti-codon, and T loops). Lineage: Archaea; Methanobacteriati; Thermoplasmatota; Thermoplasmata. RNAcentral also lists the same sequence under 1 other name. The record is from RNAcentral.
GCGGGCGUGGUGUAGUCUGGUAUCACAUAGCCCUGCCACGGCUAUUACCCGGGUUCGAAUCCCGGCGCCCGCA